Non-coding RNA from Triticum urartu, 5298 nucleotides. Lineage: Eukaryota; Viridiplantae; Streptophyta; Magnoliopsida; Poales; Poaceae. The record is from RefSeq and is a predicted model, not a curated record.
GUCUCAUCAUCAAUCCAUUGAUCCCAAUUAGGAGUAUUGUAUAAUCCGCUGAUUUGACCCCACCCAGCGGCUGCAAGUUGCACCACAAAGUAUCUAAUUGUAUCUGCAGCACUAGUCUUAAGUCUUAACUAACCUCGAUCCUCGUUGAUUCCCUCUCUCUCUCCCACUCUCUUUGUACCUAAGUACAUGCUGUACCAGUACGACUGUACGAGUAUGCGUACCCAAUUGUUCUUAAUCCGCUGGCUGUGGACCUGUGAUGCAUACUCACAUGGCUAAGAUGUGGCCCCACCCGUGAAGCUACAAGGAGGCCAAACGGGCUCCAUCUGCAUGCAUGCAUGCUGCUGCUCAAAGUGAUAUACCAUACAUGCAUAUUAUCCACAAAUGGACUUAUGGACACAUACAUAUCACCCAUCAAUAAUGCCCUUCCAUUUCCUUCCUAGGUUUUUCCCCUUUCUACUACUAGUUAUCUGAAAAAGUGAAAGGAGGAAUUGUCGUCACAACCCACCGAAUCGGUGCCCCCAUAUGCCAGCCUCACCUUACCGCUCAAGCACCCUCCACCAUGCCUCCCCUUUCGAGCUCUCCCUCUCGCGCGGAUGGACACCGAGGACCAGGUAAGCGGCGCUCUUUCUCCAGCCAUCGGUUGACGCCGUCGGCGAUUCGAGUCUUCCUCUUCUCCGGCCUGUUUGGCGCCUCUCCUUCGAACUGCACUGAAUGUGUAUGUAAGUUCAAUGACCCCCUUCUAUGUACUCGUUCUACCUAUCUGUGAGCAUGUGAUAGGGUUAAAUCUGUGACCAUCUUAUGGCAUUGUACACUGCUGAUCCGUGAGAAUGUGAUGUUCUGGUAGCUAGUGGUGAUGGAUUUGUAGCAUGCUAGCUAGGAGUUGUUUUCUUGCCCGGAAGAAUUGAUAGCUUGUGGUGAUGGAUUGGUUGUAUGCAAGUAUGGAAGUAUCUGUUUUAGUUUGUUGAACUCCUUGGUAUGAUUUGAGCUGUUGUGUUGAACUAGAUGAUCUGUCAGUACAUGUGUAGUGUUUGUUCAUACUGUCCAUACGUAGUGCUCGUUCAUACUGUCCAUGUUUAGUACUCUUAUUAUGCUCGAUGUGUAGUGUUCUCCACUCUUGUUGAUGCCCUUGUCGUGUAGGACAUGAGCAGGCAAGAGUUCAGUCAGGCCCUUGUCGUGUCUCAGAGCCAUUUUCGCGCCAUCUUCAAGGAUUCUACGACAUGUGACCUUGGCUAUCGAUGACAAAUGCAAAAUCUAGACCGACCGUUGGAUCAAUGGUAGAUCCAUGGCCGAGAUCGCCCCUCUCAUCUUCGCGGUCACCUCUUGACGUCAUCACAAGAUACAUACUGUCCAAGAUGGCCUUCACCUACGUUCCAAGGUGCAGGAUAUCCACGGGGUGCUAGGACCACCCAUUGGAAGAUUACGUGGAGGCCAUGGGCCACUCUUCGCGUUGAAAUCUUCCUCUGGCUUGCCAUGCAGGACCGAUGUUGGAUGGUGGAACGCUUUGCCCGCCAAGGCCUACCCCAUGAGGCGACAUGUGCCUUCUGCGAUCAAGAACCAAAAACCAUGCAACAUAUCUCGCAGGUUGCUCAUUCUCCAGGCAGGUCUGACAUAAGAUUCUUGGUUGGGUGAGGGCUACAGUUGAGUUACCGACCUCACGGAUAGGAGAAUGGCUAUGCUCGACGUUCCCAUUGGUUGGACCUACACCUCUCUCGGAUGCGAGGAAUAUUGCUCUUCAUUUGAAGGAAGUAGGCAGAAGAUGCGAUGAAGGUGUCUCUUGUGCUAUCGCUGUCACGACGAUCGUGAAACUAGCAAUGGCGAGGAGAAUGAAACUCAACUUGGUUUGACCCAUAUCGUGGGAUAUAUUCACAAGUUGUUUGUGACCACACCUCGUGGGAAUGGUCUAUAUAUAUAUAUAGGAUUCACACCCUUGGAAAAUUGUGUACCAUUAAUGCUAGGAUAUUUUAGUGAAAUAUGAUCAUGCCGGUGUCACCACUUCUUUUCAAUCUCAAAUCUACAAUUAAUCUUGGUUUGCCCAUCACGCAAUUAAAAAUUAAUCUAAACAAUUACAGGUUUAGUUUUGUAUACACAUAGUUAAAUGGAUUUCAUACUAGGCCACUAGGGUCAUGGUAUUGUACAUUCGUACAUUAGUGGUUUUCACCACUUGACUCGAUUGGACAUUGGUAUUAGAAUCAUCUCUUUCAUCACGCGCUUCAUCCGCACCAUUAAAGCAAAUCAAAGAAAAAUAUUUUUUAAUAGAUCAUAAUGCGCCAGAUUUGCGUCAUUGAAGCAAAUCACGCGAAUCACAUGUAUAUCUUUAUUGCUCUUUUGUAUUAUUAUUUUCAUGAUUAUUGAUAAUGAAGUCGAUCCGGAGCAAGAAAUAUAUUUCUCGAUCUUGAAUGUUUUAAUUUUGGUGAUUUGUUUUAAUAAUGUAAAUCUGGCAGUUGAUGAGGCUUGCUACUGUGAUGCCAGGAAAAAUGGUGAAUAUCAAAGUAGUCUACAAAACACACAUAACUCAGUAUGUACGUGUAUAUGUGCUAUUUGCCGGCCCACAUGCGUGGUAGAACUGAUAGACCCCUUGAUAUAAACCCCUUCUCGUUCUCGUGUUGCAUUGAUGUCAAGGGGUGUACAAAGUACAAGGGGUAUAUUGACAUAUUGAUGGUAGGCAUGCCUAUUACCAAGGUAUAUAGAAGUCCUAGUCAGCUAAGUCCGUGGUGGAGUCCUCCUUGGAUGCCUUCUUCCUUGCCUUGGUCGCCAAUUCUUACAGAUCCCCUCUUCUUAAGGGCCCAUGGACCAGACUAAUGGUGCGAGGCCUCCAAUAACUUGAGCCAGCCUGUAUUCUUCUUUGAACUCGACAGCUUCUAGUCGGGGCACAUGUGAGCGUGUUGUAUUCUGCAAGGUUGACGAGGCCUUGAUAAUUCUUGAAGCGUACUGGUAGAUAGACUUUGGCUAACACGAUCCUGGAAGUCGGUCAUAUUAACUAGGAGCUGCCACCGCUAAGUUACGUACUGUUUCGUCCUUCACCCACGCUCGCUGCUGGCCUCCGACUCUGUUUUCUGGGUUGGGCGUAGACUUUACCAUUUGAACACUAAAAGGCCCGCUCCAAGCCCAUGGGCAUCUAUCGUUCAGGAUACACACUCUGCUCACAUCCACGUCUGGGAACCAACUUCAGCCCUACUAGGUUGUGCUAGGGAAUAGGGAUGAAAGGAUGCUGAGCGUGUAGGUUUUUUGCUGCUCGGAUUGGCCACAUUACAUCACAGAUUGCUCUCUGGAUCGAAAGGUUCUUCAACUUCUGCUUAGUAGGUCUCUUGCUCCUCGGAUUGGCUUCAAUUCAUUUUUGCAGCGGUCUCCUGCUUCUUCCAUUGGAAUAUUACAUCAAUGGAAUCCACUACAGCCGUUAAAACCAUCACUCUUGGUCAACAGAGUUAUAAGGUAUUUGGACGACUCUUGCGCCUAUGGGAUGCAAUAAACAUGAAAUCCAAGUUUGCAGAUCCUCUCAUCAGCAUUGAUGGUGUCCUUUUAGAUGAAGAUCAGGGCAAUAUGGAGCAGAUCAGUGUACCCAAAAAAUUCCAAAGACAAUUAUGCCCCUUACUCACAGAAGGACAUGUCUACAUCUUCAAUGAUAUUGCAGCUAUUGAUAUAAAAAACAAAACCCAUAUAUAUCACCACCAAAACUAUAUGUUGCAAUUCAAGCACAACACUAAGAUUCACCGACUUGAAACCAGAGGAACAAAUAUACCAAAGUUUUCCUUCAUUUUUUGUCCAUUUGAUAAUCUACCAAAAAAAGAUACUUUUGCAAAACCACUUCAAGAUGUAAUAGGAGUCAUUAGCCACGUUGGGCCAUUUGAUUAUGCAAGUCAGACAUCUACAAAUAAACUCAGGAAAAUCAAAAUUCUAAACCUAGAUGAACAGACACAAGAAAUACGUCUUUGGGGCCACCAUGGUGAAACAUUUGAUGAAGAAACAUUACUCAAAAAAUCACAAGAAGGCAUUGUAGUUGGCAUUUUUGCGGGUCUCACAGCUAGGAGCUUUCUAGGCAACUGCUCAAAUAUUCUUUCUUAAAAUGACUAUAAGAGCCAAAACUAAUACGACAUACAACCAUAUAUACAUAUAGGUGCCCUGCAUGCAUCCUCAACCUCUGCAACAAAACUUUACAUUGACUUGGAUACAUCUGAAGUUAAAAACUACCAAACCAGGUCAGCCAUUCUCCUUUCUCCUUGCAACUACUACCUUCUUUUUCCAAAAUCUAACAUGCUGACAUUUUUCCAAAAACUACCAAACCAGGUCAGCCACGACAACAACUACCUCAGGUUAUGCAUUUAUCUCCUAUUCAAGCAGCAGGGAAAAUGUACACACUUCAACAAAUAUCAGAUAUGCCCACCUCAAAUUUUUAGGUCAACAUCAUCUUAUCUACCCUAUUAUUUGUAUAUCAGUGAACUUCCAUAGCAGAUUCUCAGUGCACCCUUUUUGCAAACUCUUAGGAAGGAGCUACCUACAACACCAUUGCAAAAAUUAAAUCUAUUGUACCUUCAACUAAAUGGUACUACAAAGGAUGCAAACAUUGUGAUAGAGCAUACAACAACAAUUCAGAUACUCCAACAUGCCUUUGCACAAAUUCAUCUCCAAAGCCAUUGUACGAGCUACCAAUUACACUUAGAGAUGACUCAGGAGAUUUAGAUGCCAUUGCUUUCUCUAAAAUUGCUGAAGAACUGGUUGAGCGAGAUGCCAUCUAAGCUUCUCAAAACAUGAAAGUUGAAACCGCGGAACAUGUGACCGCCCUAGAUAAUGCCAUUGGGAAAACCAGAUUGUUCUACAUAGGAAUGAAGGUUGAUUUAGUAUCCAGAUUCCCAAUAAGUUAUGUCAUAAAGAAAAGCUUCCCAGUUGACAAUGCACAAAUGCUUCCCUCCAUAAAGGUUAGACAAUUUUCAUCAAUUCAGAAAUUAACUCCUUCCUAAUUACAACUGUAUUACGUAAAAUAUUUAAUUUAAACCAUUAAAUACUUCGAGUCAACUCCAAGCAAAAACUGGUGAACAGUCCAUCGUCAUCAAAGGGCAUCCAGAGGUUUUCCAUCAAUCACAAAAUAGAAGUUACACCCUCAGUCUACACAAUGUUUACCAAACUUUUCCUGUUCGCGGUCCGAGGAGCCUAAUAGAAAUCCACUUGGGCAAUAGUAUGCCUCCCCCUUGCCAUUCUGCAACUAUGGACACCGACAAAAACAUAAAUAGGUACUCUUCAGCAAAAAGAAGCAUCGAAUUUACAGAAGAUUGAGCCACCAACAAAGAGGGGUACUAAUUGAUAACA